AUGCAUCCCAAACCAUUUUGCCAGAAAGGCAAGCACCAUCGAAACCUUACCGACAGAUGGCCACCCGGCCUUGCGGGCCAUGGCUGCGCGGGCUCCGUCCCGUCAUUCGUUCCUUCCCUGACAGGCCAUGAAGAGGAGAAAGAGAAGGAAGAUGUCUCCCUCCAGGCCGGCCUGAGGGAGAGGACCAGCCCUGAGUCUCGGCUUAUACUGGAGUCAAUGUUUUCCCAGUUUUUUUUGGUGGUAAAAUUAGGUGCCUCAGCUUAUAUUCAGGUCAGCUUAUACUCGAGUAUAUACGGUAUCUCGUUUGCUGUGUCAUAUUCUGUCUUUGUGCCAAUAAUAAAUAAUAAUACUUUGAUUUGUGAUUUUGUGAUACGAAAAUCUCGUUUGCUGUGUCAUACUCCGUCUUUGUGUCAAUAAUAAUAAUAAUAAUAAUAAUAAUAAUAAUAAUAAUAAUAUCAUAGGCCCUUGGGAAGAGCCCGAUAUUCGGAGACAAAUCCCAAACACUUGGACCUAACGUGCAUGUGUGUUGUGUUAUGUACAUGUAAAUAAUAACAACAAUAACAACAGGUGGUCUCCUUAACUGGCUAAGAGAACCAAGGAUGCCAUAGUAGUUUUGUUACUUGGUAGGUUUAAUAUGUUUAUGUUUUAUUUGAUUAUUUAAAUGUUGUGAGUAGUUGUCAUAAUUUGUUAUAGGUGUUUUAUUCAAGGGGUGGUUUGUUCAUUUUGUAUUGUUAUGGCCUAGUCAGUGGGUUAAAUCUUUGUGCCAGCAGGACUGCUGACUUGAAGGUUGGGUUGCUGACCUGAAGGUUGCUGGUUUGAAUCCAACCCGGGGAGAGCGCGGAUGAGCUCCCUCUGUCAGCUCCAACUCCCCAUGCGGGGACAUGAGAAAAGCCUCCCACAAGGAUGGUAAAAACAUCAAAACAUCCGGGUAACAUCGCCUGGGCAAUGUCCUUGUAGACGGCCAAUUCUCUCACACCAGAAGUGACUUGCAGUUUCUCAAGUCGCUCCUGACACGAUUUUUUUUUAAUGUUUGCCAUCCUUUGUUGGAAACUGCCCUGACUGUCCCCUUAGUGAGAUAGAGUGGUCUACAAAGAAAUAAUAAUAAUAAUAAUAAUAAUAAUAAUAAUAAUAAUAAUUCUUUAGCUGCCUCAUUUGGCCAGGUCACAAUAUAUUGCCUUGGACCCCAAUGCCUUUAUAUACAAAACAUGAAGCACAAAAUGCAAUCUUGCCUUUGGUUAGGGCAGUGGUUCCCAACUUUCUCAAUGCCGCAACCCCUUAAUACAGUUCCUCAUGUUAUGGUGACCCCCAACCAUAAAAUCAUUUUUGUCGCUACUUCAUAACUCUCAUUUUACUACUGUUAUGAAUCGUAAUGUAAGUAUCUGAUAUGCAGGAUAUAUCACUGGACCAGAUUUGGCACAAAUACCCGAUAUGCCCAAAUUUAAAUACUGGUGGAGUUUGGGGGAAAUAGACCUUGACAUUUGGGAGUUGUAGUUGCUGGGAUUUAUAGUUCACCUGCCAUCAAAGAGCAAUCUGAACUCCACCAACGAUGGAAUUGUACCAAACUUGGCAUACAGUACUUUCAUGUCCAACAGAAAAUACUAGAACGGUUUGGUAGGCAUUGAUCUUGAGCAGGGGUCCCCAAACUAAGGCCCGGGGGCUCGGGCUGUGGCGCAGGCUGGAGAGCAGAUGCAAUGAAUCACUGCAAUGAAUCACUCAGGUCAUGAGUUCGAGGCCCGCUCGGAGCCUAUGUUUGUCUUGUCUUCGUUCUAUGUUAAAAGGCAUUAAAUGUUUGCCUAUAUGUGUAAUGUGAUCCGCCCUGAGUCCCCUUCGGGGUGAGAAAGAAGGGCGGAAUAUAAAUGCUGUAAAUAAAUAAAUAAAUAAAUAAAUAAUCGAAGACAUUUAUCCGGCCCCCACGGCGAAGGGGGUUGGGAUAAAUGACCCAAGGGGUCUCUUCUUCUCUUACAACCCUUAUUAUUAUGAUUAUGAUUAUGAUUAUUAUUAGCAUUGAGGCUGGGUGGCCAUCUGUCAGGGGUGCUUUGCUUGCGCUUUUGAUGCACAAAGGCAGAAGGGGAUUGGACUAAAUGGCCCAAAGGGUCUCUUCCAACCCUCUUUAUUAUUAUUAUUAUUAUUAUUAUUAUUAUUAUUAUUAUUAUUAUAUUAGUAUUAACAUUGAGGCUGGGUGGCCAUCUGUCAGGGGUGCUUUGCUUGUGCUUUUGGUGCACAAAGGCAGGAGGUUGGACUCAAUGGGCCAAAGGGUCUCUUCCAACCAUCUUUUUUAUUGUUGUUGUUGUUGUUGUUAUUAAUUAUUAUUGCUCGGUGGCCAACUAUAGUCCGGCCCUCCAACGGUCUGAAGGAUCGUGAACUGGCCCCCUGUUUAAAGUUUGGGGACCCCUGAUCUUGAGUUUUGGAGUUGUAGUUCACCAACAUCCAGAGAGCACUGUGGACUCCAAACAAUGAUGGGUCUGGACCAGACUUGGCACAAAUACUCAACAUGCCAUCGUUGUCGAGAGUUCCAACUAUUUAUUCGUCUUUUCUUUUUUAAUAAUGAAAAAUAACCUCUCAAAACACAGAACAUAAACCUUUUGUGGAGGAAACGGGGCAAAGGAGAACGACAACAACAAAAAACCCCACCAUUUUCUCAUCAAAAGAGUUAACUUUCCCACCCCGCAGUUGCAAAGUACGAAAGGGGGAAAAGAAAAUACUAUUUUGCCCUCCUCCACAACCCAAGAAUGAAUGCAAUUAAUCCCCCCCGACCCUAAAAUUCAAGCCUCGCAGGACACAGUGUAUUUUAUGCAGAUCAAGAGUCAUUCCUGAAGGCGGUUGCUUGUACAUUCAAGGAGCAAGUCCUCAUGGAGUUGGUACAGUAUAAGGAAAAUCGCUAUCUUUGAAGUAUCCGAUAUCUUUGAUGCACGAAAAGUUGCAAGGCCGAUGGAUGCGAGAAUAUAAAAGAGACGCAUUUGAAACCAAAGUUUAGUCUGGUUGUUUCGAUUCCGGUGUCUCCCAGAAAAAGGUGGGUUUACUCCCCCGUUUUUUUUGAAGCAAUGUGUCAUAAACUGCAUUAAGGUACCAAGAAGUGAAGACACCGUCGAGUGACGCUUAGGACAUGCCUUCGCCUGGUUCAGAUAAAGGCUUUGCAGCAAAUCCGUGUUCUAGCACCGUUCCCUAGAAGCACUUUUUUUAUCCGAUGAUAGAGAGCACCACAUGAGUUAGACAGAUAUGUUUUGCUAGUUCCAUCCAAAAAUAAUAAUAACAACAAUUAGAGGCAGCUUGGAAGAUUUUGAUCACCCACGUUUGGCCUCCAAAAAGAGGUGUAAACAUGGCGUGGAGAGCAAAGCAUCUCUCCCAAACGCCUCAAAAAAGAUACAGGAGCACCCAGGGAUUUGAAAGCAAGGACCACAAAUCAAGGAAAAGGUGUGAGAUGUGUGUGGUGGAGGUUGUUGCAGAGGAAAUACAUUUGUGCAGACGAGGGAGAAUUGGUUACGACGGAAAUAAAAAAGAUGGAUAGAGAGUGAUGGAUGAAUUGAUGGAUGGAUCGAGUUCAGAGAGAUAGUGAAGAUAAAUAAAUCAAAUAGGUAGGUCAGACUGAUGAGAGUAGAUAGUGCAGAUCAGUGGUUCCCAACCUUUGGGCCUCCAGGUGUUUUGGACUUCAACUCCCAGCCAGCUUACCAGCUGUUAGGAAUUGUGGGAGCUGAAGUCCAAAACACCUGGAGGCCCAAAGGUUGGGAACCACUGAGAUAGAUAUGUUCAGAUAGAUAGAUCAGAUAGACAGGCAGAUAGUUCAGACAGACAGAUAGAUCAGAGUAGAUAGUUCAGAUAGAUCAGAUAGACAAGCUAGUUCAGAUGGAUGGAUGGAGAUCAAAUAGAUAGAUAGAUAGAUAAGAUAGAUCAGACUAGAUAGUUCAGAUAGAUAAAUAAGUUCAGAUAGAUAGUUCAGAUAGGUAGAUAGAUCAGAUAGACAAACAUAGUUCAGAUGGAUGGAUGGAGAUCAAAUAGAUAGAUAGAUAGAUAGAUAGAUAGAUAGAUAGAUAGAUAAGAUAGAUCAGAGUAGAUAGUUCAGAUAGCCAAGAUAGUUCAGAUGGAUGGAUGGAGAUCAAAUAGAUAGUUAAAAUAGAUAGAUAGAUAGAUCAGAGUAGAUAGUUCAGAUAGGUAGAUAGAUCAGAUAGACAAACAUAGUUCAGAUGGAUGGAUGGAGAUCAAA
Molecule: long non-coding RNA, 4198 nt
Filed under: Anolis carolinensis (green anole)
Lineage: Eukaryota; Metazoa; Chordata; Lepidosauria; Squamata; Anolidae
Description: lncRNA (ENSACAG00000033832.2)
Source: RNAcentral